RNAcentral lists this transfer RNA (73 nucleotides) under Paramuricea clavata. It matches the Rfam family "tRNA". Rfam says of the family: Transfer RNA (tRNA) molecules are approximately 80 nucleotides in length. Their secondary structure includes four short double-helical elements and three loops (D, anti-codon, and T loops). Further hydrogen bonds mediate the characteristic L-shaped molecular structure. tRNAs have two regions of fundamental functional importance: the anti-codon, which is responsible for specific mRNA codon recognition, and the 3' end, to which the tRNAs corresponding amino acid is attached (by aminoacyl-tRNA synthetases). tRNAs cope with the degeneracy of the genetic code in two manners: having more than one tRNA (with a specific anti-codon) for a particular amino acid; and 'wobble' base-pairing, i.e. permitting non-standard base-pairing at the 3rd anti-codon position. Lineage: Eukaryota; Metazoa; Cnidaria; Anthozoa; Malacalcyonacea; Plexauridae. The record is from Rfam by way of RNAcentral.
GACCGCGCGGCUCAGUUGGCAGAGCAUUGGGCUAGUAUUCCAAAGGUCGUAGGUUCGAUUCCCACCGUGGUCA